RNAcentral lists this ribosomal RNA (449 nucleotides) under uncultured bacterium. RNAcentral describes it as "partial 16S ribosomal RNA". It matches the Rfam family "Bacterial small subunit ribosomal RNA", at positions 29 to 523 of the family's 1533-position model. The record is from RNAcentral.
AGCGAACGCUGGCGGCAGGCCUAACACAUGCAAGCCGAACGAAGCCUUCGGGCUUAGUGGCGGACGGGUGAGUAACACGUGGGAACGUACCUUUUGGUUCGGAACAACUCAGGGAAACUUGAGCUAAUACCGGAUGAGCCCUUAGGGGGAAAGAUUUAUCGCCGAAAGAGCGGCCCGCGUUAGAUUAGCUAGUUGGUGAGGUAAAGGCUCACCAAGGCAACGAUCUAUAGCUGGUCUGAGAGGAUGAUCAGCCACACUGGGACUGAGACACGGACCAGACUCCUACGGGAGGCAGCAGUGGUGAAUCUUGCGCAAUGGGCGAAAGCCUGUCGCAUCCAUGCCGCGUGAAUGAUGAAGAUCUUAGGAUUGUAAAAUUCUUUUACCAGGUACGAUAAUGACGGUACCUGGAGAAAAAGCCCCGGCUAACUUCGUGCCAGCCGCCGCAGUAA